RNAcentral lists this long non-coding RNA (253 nucleotides) under Vitis vinifera (wine grape). RNAcentral describes it as "long non-coding RNA (VVIN_LNC005227)". The record is from RNAcentral. Lineage: Eukaryota; Viridiplantae; Streptophyta; Magnoliopsida; Vitales; Vitaceae.
AAAGAGUUGCAUUGCUACAGUCACACACUUAAAAUUGUAGAGUAUUUUCAUGGUUUGACUGAGAUUGGACUAGGUGCUGCUGCUCUAUGCCUUCUGGUUCUCAGUUUCUUCUUCCUCGACAACUUUCUUUCCAAAUCAUUCACUCUCCCGGUUAAGUUUGAUAUGACUGUUAAUUGCUCCUUCCCCGCAUUGAUCAGCUGCUCCAUCAUCUCCCUCAGUUUCUUGUUUUCUUCUAUUAGCUUUUCAUCGGGAG